UGGUAAGUUUUUCAUCAAAGGGGAAAGGUCAAGUGACUUUGAACAUGGUAAUUUUUUUGAUGAAUAAAGAGAAAUAUAUUAAAAUGUAAUAUUUUUAAAUCGACCCUUUUCAUAAGAAAAAAAGGUUUGUAAAAUAAUUUUUUAAUAUGUAUUAUUUAUAAUUUUGUAUCAUUCUCAUAUUUUUGUUCUCAAAAACAACAAAUAGUUUAUUUUCUCUAUCAAACAUGCCAUUUUUACUUAUGGAUGUUAACUACCUGAAAAUUCAAGUAAACUACUCCUAAUUAGGGAUGGAUUAGGUAUGGGAUUAUUAUUAUUAUUUAUGAUACCCGGAUCCUUCGAUUUCAACCAACAUACCCAAAUCAAAAUGACAUGACAUGAGUUUGGGUAUGAGAUCUUUGUAAGCAUUCCUAUUUUAUUCUUUCAACUUAGUAAUAACUGCAUUAGAGAAAAAGAAGAGUUAGAUGAAAAAUAAAUUUCCCUAAGAAUAUUUAGGGAUAAGAGGAGUAGAAAAAAAGGAUUAGAGGAGAAAGAUCGGCGCUUCUAAAAUGGCAAUCUUGACUUCCAAUUUAUUUUUAGUUAAAAUUUCUUUUAAUAGUCCAUAUCCUAGUAUCCAUACCCAUUUUUGGAUCCUUUUUAGUUGAGUGCCCAUAUCCUAGAAUUUGAGUUGUGAAACAUGAGAUAGUUUCACACAUACCCACAUCUUACACUCAUAGUCAAACCCAUGCAACAUAGAUUAUUAUUAUUAUUAUUAUUAUUUAAUUGAGACGUGUUUAGGGUGAUUUGGGUUUUGUGUCCACCUGCCUUGCCUUGCACUUACAUAUGAAAAGACAAGUACGCCGUUUAUAGCAUUCAAUUUCUAUUGACUCCCCUCAUUGUCAAAUCCACCCUAAAUCUCAUUGCACCUCUAUCUAUUGCAGUCAUCCUCGUUUUCUCCGCCAAAAUAUAAGGAGUGUCCAUCUCCAUUGCAAUCCUCCUCAUCCUUUUAACAUUGAGAAUCUUCAUUUCUACCAAUUAGAAGCUAAGAUACUUUCAAGAUUGAGGAAAAACCACCUUGCAGACAAAAGAUAAGAGCCCUCACUAGAAGAAGUUGACAGAAUGAGUGAUAUUUGCAGAUGCUCUUCACUCCAUUAGGAGGAACUACAUCACCGCAUCAAGUCCAAUUACAGCUCUACGUUGCAGCCAUCACUGUGGCUGUCCCUAUAGUUGUCCCCAUCAUCAUCACCAUUGCUAUCACAAACAUUGCUGGUAUACUUUUGGUUGUCCCUCAGAAUGAUCAAAUUUGGUCUUUGUUAGCUAAGUUGCUUAUAAUUCUAGAUGGUAUCCUUCAGUUAUAUUUUAUCUUUUAACUUGUUAAUGAAGGAAAAAUGGGUGGGCAAGUGAUCUUAAUUUUCUCUAUAAUGUGACUGCUAUGAAGAAACCCCUUUAAUCCCUCUUUGGUUUUGUUUUCUUAUGCCAAUGUUUAUACCCAACCCGACUUGUCUCAGCUUGAUAACACUAACCCUAGGGAGGAUGGGGCUAGAAUGGGGAGCAAUUAUGCUUAACCAUCCCUCUCCACCCUGCCCUGACUUAGGUUUGUUUGGGCAUGGGAAAUUCCUCUACUAUAGGGGAGUGACCAAGAUAAGAUGAUGACUUCAAACCCACUCGAUUGACAUCCAAAUAAGUGUAAUUUUUCAAAAUGAAAAAUGAUAACAAUGUUGAUCAUGUGUGCAAAUUUUUUCGUCACAGCGAAGCAAGGCUUUAGCUGAGAGAAAGAGCAAGAAGUAAAAGGAGGUAGCGGUUACAACUCAAUUUGACAUUCUCCAUGGUAAAAAAAAGAGUCAAUUGGCAUCAUUGUUCUAAUAGUUGGACAGAACAGGUAGACUGAUCUCAGAAAUAUAUUGAGGGGUGAGAAAAUGCAGCCGUCUUCUGGAGAUAUGUAUGGCUUUUUUACCUCAAAAUCUAUUGAUCUAAACUAUAAAAUAGACGUCUGUGGAAAAUUUUUGGGGGAUAUACUGUUUAUUUAAUUAUAUCAUAUUUAAUUUAUCUCUUACAUUUUAUUUUGGUCAUUGAUCUCAAAGAUACCAUAUGGGAUUGUUAAUCUAUUUUAUUAAUUAAAACAUUAACAAGGUGCUUGUACAUGUAUAUGAAUAUUUUUUCCUUUCUUUUGAACUUGAAACAUUCUUUACUGAGGAUACACGAGACUUUUUUUAGUUGGAUAAAGGACUGCAAUGCUCAUGCAUAUGGAUUUUGUGUUAAAUACAUGUUGAAUCAUUCAUCAACUUGGAAGCUUUAGUUUUUGAGGUAAUUACUUAUUUAUUUACAUAUUUUUCAUAGAAUUAUUGAAGGGAGGAAUUACUUGAAAAUGUACAGUUUGACCUUAUUUACAAGGGAUAAAAUUUUGUGGUAUACUAGGAAAAAAACAUUUUGGAAUAGUCUUGGAGAUUUUCUUAUCUCAUUUAAUCCCAACAUAUGUGAUUAUUGUCUCCUUCAAUAUGGUUUUAACAAGAAGUAACUAACAUCUAUUAUUGGGAAAUGCUUAAUUCAAAUAACUGUUAGGAAAAUAAUAAGAAAAGGGAACUAUCUAUGUUAGUUAGAAUAGGAAAGUUAUUAUGAGUUGAAAUAUUAGAUGAUGUAAGCAUAAGUGGUGUAAAAUGUGGUAUAAUUAAAAAUUUCUUUGUGCUAAAAGAGAAGAAAUCAAUUUCUUUUUAAUUUUUCAAUUUUUAUUUUUAAAAAAAAUUGAAUUUCUUUUAUGCUUCAUGGCCCAUUCCUUAUCAUUGUAGUAAGUUAAGAUAAUUAAUUUUUUAUCUUCUAAUUUAGGUUUGCUUUUGAUGGAUUGAAAAUGCAAUGGCAUGAACGGAUUCGGAAAGAGAUCUCAAGUGCAUCCUUUCAGAUUCAAGGUGUGAAGCUUGAACCAACCUGGGCUUGGUUGUUUACUUCAUGGGCUUAACUGCAUCGGAGAGAUGCUGGUGACAGCCAAUAAUGAGGAGAUAAAGAAGAUAACAUGAAAGGACAGAAGAUGUGGAUGGCUUUGAUCCUAUACUGGUGGCUAUGGAUGGCCUUGAGAUGAAUGAGGAAGAGGAAGGCGAAGCAAGUACUUUUGAUAAUGAGCAUAAUCGGGAAAUUAUAUAUAUUUCAAAUAAUGUAGAGUAGUGAUGGAUAGAAAAUGGAAAUAGUAGCACAAGUAUAGAUGGGAUACUAAUAUAAUAUGUUAAAUGUACUUUGUAUUAGGGUUUGUAAGGUCUAGUGAAGGUUAUUUUUCUUCCAGGAGUUGAUGUAAGGGGAGGAGCCAAACUCAGUUACAAUUUUCUACUAGGGCUCCUUUGUUGUGUUCUUUUUUUAACUAUGGUAGUGGCACAUGAAUGUCAUGAUCAUGAAUAGAACUAUAUCGAGAUACUUUGAGUUGCAA
Molecule: long non-coding RNA, 3385 nt
Organism: Vitis vinifera (wine grape)
Lineage: Eukaryota; Viridiplantae; Streptophyta; Magnoliopsida; Vitales; Vitaceae
Exons: 2
Source: RefSeq, a predicted model, not a curated record